CUGUAUCACAAGUAGAACCUGUAUAUCCCUGAUCACAUGAACACGUGUAUCCGGUGGGACCACUAUUGCAUUGUCCGUUUACGCAUGGAUUUAGUCUACAGUCUAAAGAUUCAACAUGAUGUCAGUUAUUGUGUCAGUUAAGUAUUAAGAAUCUCAGUACAAACACAUAAACAUAUACAAUUGCUAUUGUAACCAAAAGUAGCACGUGAAACAUGUUUAUACAAUUAGUAUAUAUUUAGCAUGGUUUGGGAUAGCAGGCCGCUAUUUAUGCAUACAUCAAAAGUUAUAUGUAAUAUGUGUGCAAGGAACAUGACAAAACAUUGAUGGAAUUGUUUUAUUUGUAUACCAAUUUGUGUUAUUUCGGUUUUUAUUGUAUUAGUGAUAUAGACUUGUAAGUUUUGAAUGUCCACUUUGUAUCAUGACCUAUUUCUUACUAGACAACAACAUGAUUUACUAGUAAUGUGUCAGUAAACUAUUGAAUAUUCCGGUACAAACACGGAACGAGACUAUACAUGUAUGUGUCUACACCAUAAGCAUCCUGUACUUUUUCUUGCAUUUUUUUUUUAUAAAAACAGAAUAUUCCAGAUCUGUGUUAACAGUUGAUCCUUGUAAUAGUAUAUGACAAUUUAUAAAUAUAAAUAGUCAGUAAAAAAAUACUAGCCAGUGUCGGAAGUUGGGUAUAGAAACAAGAUUAUAACUAUGCAGUUAUUAAAGUCAUUAAAGCAUAUUUUAAGAUAUGAGCAGAUUAUGCUAGCAAUCAUUAUAAUCAUCGCAUCACCUUUUGGUGAAAAUUGAAUAUUUCAAGAGAGCGGAGGGGGUAGGAGUACGUUAGCUUUUUUUGUGAAAUAGUUUGUCGAGUGAUCAGACUUCAAAACAACUAAUGUAUUGAUCAAUUCAACAAUCACUUUCAUAUGACGAUGAUUUUCAUUCCAAUUUAUAAGCAUGUUCUUUGUAUCGUUUUACUUAUCAAACUUGCAAGGUCAAUUUCACUUGUAAUAUUUCAAAUUUUGAUUUGGUUGGCUCCAGAAUGAAAGAAAAAAUAACAACAUGUAGUGUGGACAUUAGUUUGCCAUUAAAACAAGAGGUGAAGAGUGGCAUGUUUGACUGGCAUACACAAAUAGUAUAUCAUCAUAACAUAUUUAGCACGGUUUGGUAUUGCAGGCAGCAAUGCAUGCAUACAUCAAAUUGAUAUGUCACGUUACUGCAUGGAACAUGAUGAAACAUGAUGUUAUCGUUUAUAUAGUAUCAACAUUGCAAUAUUUUGUUGAUAGUUCUAUGAUAUACAUAAUCAAUUUAAACUACUUGCUAUUUUUGUCUAUCUAGAAAUAAAUACUUACAGUUGAUCGCUGAAAUUUAUGAUUUACUUUUAAAAUUUGGAUUAAUUUAUAUUCUUAAUGGAAGUUCUUAAUUGUCAAAUAGAUGAAUGAUAUCGACUUCCUAUAACAUAUACAACCAGUUUGCAUUUGUAUCGAUUAUAUUACUCGAUUUAUUUCACUUGACUGGGCGGAGUUUAACCGAUUCGCUCACAAUAGACCAGUCCAUCUAUAGAUAGGUGUUUAAGGAUAAACUCAUCAAUGAAGUGUCCAGUCAUUGUUUUUUUAAAUUCCUUUGAUGACACUGAUAGGUGAUUAGAAAUCAGUAAUAAUUAUAACAGCUAUCAUCCUUAUCACACACAUCUUCAAAUAGACUGUCCUUAUGCAAAUUAAAACGUAAGCUCCGCCCGAUCAGUUGAAAUGACAUUAGUAAUACAUGUAUUACAGUUAGAAUUAAUACAUGUACACGUGUAUCCCGAAUGAUCAUACGACGAACGGUCACAUGACAUUACAGUCACGUGUGAAUCGGUUUAUCCCAUCGCUUAAGGCAGAUUUUUUUUUAUAAUAAUGAUUACUUCUAUACGGUUCUCUAGCAAUUUUCGGUCAAAUCUACUAUGGACAUCCUGGGGAUGUUGCAAGUAAUUUGGAUUUAAAAAAAAAACUUUUAAAUGAUUUAACAGAAAUAAUAUAAAACUAAUAAUAACCAAAGACAUUAUUAACAAGAAAUACAGGAAAGUCAUAUUCAUUUUGUACUUUUUUAUCAAUAUGUAAGGUUGACAUUUACACUACUGAAUGUAACACAUAAUGGUGUUUUCAUUUAUUACUUCAAUAGGGUAUAAAUGUCAAUACGUAUAUUAUUUCUUUUUUACUAUUAGUUUUAAUUAUGUAAAAUAAAAUAAAAAUAAUGCGGGUUGUGAAAUGUCUUACAUCAAGUACAUUUCUACAAGACAAGAUUUUCACUGGACAGAGAUGUGUUACUCGAGAUUCAGAUUGUAUGUAAUAAUCUGAUAGCAAUGUUUUACCUUUGUUGCAGUUGGUGCCUGAGUAUCCUUGCGUACAACUGCAUGUAUAACCAGAUGCACUAUUUUGGCAUCUUCCGUUUAGGCAAGGGUUCGAAUGACAGU
This 2437-nucleotide long non-coding RNA is filed under the name Mytilus galloprovincialis (Mediterranean mussel). Lineage: Eukaryota; Metazoa; Mollusca; Bivalvia; Mytilida; Mytilidae. The record is from RNAcentral.